CCCUUAGAUGUUCUGGGCAGCACGCGCGCUACAAUGGUCUUCGCAAACGGAUGCAUUCUCGAAGGAGAAUGCCAAUCUUGGAAUCUAUGCCUUGGUCGGGACAGUUGCUUGCAAUUUUUCGACUCGAACCAGGAAUUCCUUGUAAUCGUGAUUCAUCACAUCACGAGGAAUACGUCCCUGCCCUUUGUACACACCGCCCGUCGCUCCUACCGAUCGAAGAGUUAGGUGAAUUGUUUUGAUCGAUAAGAUUUGACUAUGGUCAACUCUCGUUGUGAAAUUCUGUGAAUCUGACUGUUUAGAGGAAGGAAAAGUCGUAACA
Molecule: ribosomal RNA, 319 nt
Filed under: uncultured eukaryote
Lineage: Eukaryota
Description: partial 18S ribosomal RNA
Rfam family: Eukaryotic small subunit ribosomal RNA
Source: RNAcentral